RNAcentral lists this ribosomal RNA (253 nucleotides) under uncultured bacterium. RNAcentral describes it as "partial 16S ribosomal RNA". It matches the Rfam family "Bacterial small subunit ribosomal RNA", at positions 524 to 776 of the family's 1533-position model. The record is from RNAcentral.
CACGUAGGGCGCAAGCGUUGUCCGGAAUUAUUGGGCGUAAAGAGCUCGUAGGCGGCUCUUUAAGUCGGAGGUGAAAUCCUGGAGCUCAACUCCAGAACUGCCUUCGAUACUGUAGAGCUUGAGUUCGGGAGAGGUGAGUGGAACUGAGAGUGUAGAGGUGAAAUUCGUAGAUAUUCGCAAGAACACCAGUGGCGAAGGCGGCUCACUGGCCCGAUACUGACGCUGAGGUGCGAAAGCGUGGGGAGCAAACAGG